RNAcentral lists this ribosomal RNA (253 nucleotides) under uncultured bacterium. Its description in RNAcentral is "partial 16S ribosomal RNA". It matches the Rfam family "Bacterial small subunit ribosomal RNA", at positions 524 to 776 of the family's 1533-position model. The record is from RNAcentral.
UACGUAGGGUGCAAGCGUUGUCCGGAAUUAUUGGGCGUAAAGAGCUCGUAGGCGGUCUGUCGCGUCUGCUGUGGAAACCCGGGGCUCAACCCCGGGCUUGCAGUGGAUACGGGCAGACUAGAGUUCGGUAGGGGAGACUGGAAUUCCUGGUGUAGCGGUGAAAUGCGCAGAUAUCAGGAGGAACACCGGUGGCGAAGGCGGGUCUCUGGGCCGAUACUGACGCUGAGGAGCGAAAGCGUGGGGAGCGAACAGG